Gossypium hirsutum (cotton) is the source of this 145-nucleotide non-coding RNA. The record is from Rfam. NCBI's taxonomy places the organism in Eukaryota, Viridiplantae, Streptophyta, Magnoliopsida, Malvales, Malvaceae.
UGUUAAAAAUUUUAUUUAUUUAUUUUAUUAAAAACUAACAUAAUUGACGAAAUAGUCAAAUGGAUAUAUAGGACAUACUACAUGUACCUUAUUAUGAUGUACAAGGACUAAUUUUUAAUAAUAAAAAUAGAUUAAAUUUUUAACA